Molecule: microRNA precursor, 84 nt
Organism: Aotus nancymaae (Ma's night monkey)
Lineage: Eukaryota; Metazoa; Chordata; Mammalia; Primates; Aotidae
Source: Ensembl
UAAGUUACAUAUGUCUGCCUCUACCUGUAUCAUCAUAAUAAAGGUGUCAUGAUGAUACACGUAGAGGUAGACAUAUAAAACUUA